GACGAACGCUGGCGGCGUGCCUAAUACAUGCAAGUCGAACGCAGUGGGGACGGGUGAGUAACACGUGGGUAACCUCCCAUCAGAGGGGAUAACACUUGGAAACAGGUGCUAAACCGAUACUGAUGGCUGAACCCGCGGUGCAUUAGCUAGUUGGUGAGGUAACGGCUCACCAAGGCCACGAUGCAGAGCCGACCUGAUAGGGUGUUCGUCCACACGGGGACGGAGACACGGCCCAUAGUCGUACGUGAGGCAGCAGUAGGGAAUCCUCGGCAAUGGACGAAAGUCUGACCGAUCAACGCCGCGUGAGUGAAGAAGGGUUUCGGAUCGUAAAACUCUGUUGUGAGAGAAGCGGUAUCUAACCAGAAAGCCACGGCUAACUACGUGCCAGCAGCCGCGGUAAUAC
This 403-nucleotide ribosomal RNA is filed under the name uncultured bacterium. RNAcentral's name for it is "partial 16S ribosomal RNA". It matches the Rfam family "Bacterial small subunit ribosomal RNA", at positions 28 to 526 of the family's 1533-position model. The record is from RNAcentral.